Molecule: long non-coding RNA, 1147 nt
Organism: Zingiber officinale
Lineage: Eukaryota; Viridiplantae; Streptophyta; Magnoliopsida; Zingiberales; Zingiberaceae
Exons: 2
Source: RefSeq, a predicted model, not a curated record
UUGUCUAUUGUCAAGCCCUCAUUUAAAUCUGGGAUGAUCUGAACCGUUGGAUGCAACUAAGGAAUAGAAAAGACCUAGGUUUCACUUUGGCACCCACCUUUCUCCCGAAUCUCUCCUACCGAAUCCCUCUCAUGCAUAGUCUUCUCCUCCCGAAUCCCUCUCACGCGUACAUACUGGUCUCCUCAUCUCAUCUCAUGCCCUCUCCAUCCAACCCCUCUCUGUCGAACCCUCUUCAUGAACCUCUCCUCUGAACCCCUCUCCAUCUAACGAUACUCUGCUGAAUCCCUCUCCCGUUGAACAUAAAAUCAACUUCCGGAUUCAGGAGCCAUCAUCUCUUCAUGCUUCAAAUUUCUCCCAAUCAAGAGAAGUGCUACAGCCAGCUUCAUCAAUCCACAGCCUCUUCGUUGGUAGAUCUCUUGCUAGAGAAGCUUCAUCCGGCCAUCCCACACAGCUUCUUCGUCAGGAGCACAUCUCAACCCACUCCAUCCGGAUCACACUCGCAUUCCCUCUCUGAUCAGCUCUCAUCUGUAGCUCUUCUUCUGAGAAUCGGACAACAACCGUCUCUCCUUUCAAGCCUUCCAAGCUCCUCAGAUCAAUUCCAUCUGAAGCUUCCAACAAUAACCUUCAAGAUCCGGAUAACAUUGAUUUUGAAGAUACCAAAAGUAUGAGACACUCGAAUGCAGACAAAUGACAAUUAGGCUCAAUCUAUCAAUCGUUGCCAACCCAUGGCGAUUAUGAUCAACUGUUCUUCAUGAGUUGUUCUAUCAUUCAUUUUUUUUGCAAUCUUACUGAUAUGUUUGUUCUGUAAUCUCACAGGAGCAGCAACUACAUGUUAUGUGACACUGUAUCCGAACCUCAGGGAUGUGGCUGGGAAGUACUUCGACGAAGAACUAUCAAAAAGGCUUUGGGAUUUAAACGAGAAGAUGUUAAAGGCAAUGAGUAAAAAACAUUCAAGUUAAGAGGAUAAGUAGCAUCUAUCAAGACCCUUUAAGUUCAUGCAACAAGAUGUAGUCGAUAGGAGUAGUUUUGAGUAUCUCCUAAUUAAAAUUUCUUUGUAUCUGAGUAAUUAUAUUUGUUAUAGAAGUGUAAGGAUGAUAAUUUGUAUAUUAAUCUUGGUUGUUUAUUUAAUAAUAUGUCAUUGAUUGAA